Orcinus orca (killer whale) is the source of this 316-nucleotide long non-coding RNA. RefSeq lists it as uncharacterized. The transcript has 3 exons. The record is from RefSeq and is a predicted model, not a curated record. Lineage: Eukaryota; Metazoa; Chordata; Mammalia; Artiodactyla; Delphinidae.
UGCAGAGCAGGAGGUGGCCAGUUCCUGGAUUCCGGCCAGCUGAGUGCACACACAGCGACCGCAUCUGCAGCCGCAUCUGCAGACGGGUGCCGUGCCUUCCAGAUACAGCCUCAGCCGCCAAGUGGGGAUGACAGGCUGGUCACUUGGGAUGCUGCACCGGGUAGAAAAGAGAGCCCUGAAUUUGGGGGACCUGUGUUCUCAGAAGAGAAGGCGAUUAGGGCUGCUCGGGCCCAGAGAAAAGGCUGUGUGAAGACAGAGUGGGAAGGCAGCCGUCUGCAAGCCAAGGAGAAACCAGCCCUGAUCCGCGACUUCCAGC